Molecule: non-coding RNA, 1925 nt
Organism: Prunus avium (sweet cherry)
Lineage: Eukaryota; Viridiplantae; Streptophyta; Magnoliopsida; Rosales; Rosaceae
Source: RefSeq, a predicted model, not a curated record
CUCUGUCUCUCUGUCUCUCUCUCGACUCAUCUCUAUCGUGCUCGCUCUCUCUCACUCUUAGUCACAUCUUUAAGUCUCUUAGAGUCGCCAGACUCAUUCUCUCUCCAAACCUAACCAAACAUCAUCCAAUUUCAUUGGUUUUUGGAGCGAAUCCUUGUAAAUUCUGGAGGGCUCUGGUUCAUUCUAAGUUGUUGUGCUUAGUCUUUGUGGGUUUGGAUUAAUAGGCAAAAUUGAAGAUUGUUGCUUUGCAGCUUUCUGUGGUCCGUGUGUUUCUUACCUGCUACGAAAACGAGCUCUUUAUAAUAAUAUGUCAAGGUACAGACGCUGUGCCGGAUAUAUGCCAUGCAGUGGAAGGUGUGGAGAACGUCACUGCCCCGAAUUGUGUCUUUGCACUGAGGUACCGUAUUAAUUUCAUUGAUUUCGAUGUGAUAAAAUUUAUGAAUAAAUUAGCAAUGUGGUAUUCAUCAAUUUGAAAGAUGAAAUUCAGGCUUAGCUUUGCCCUUUUGCACUCUAUUACUACAUUUUCUUAGACAUAGACAUACAUGGAAUUUAGUUUUGUUUAUGUUUGGAUGCUUUCUUUAUUGUUUUCAGGUUUAAUUUCUGAUUUUUUUAACUGUGUAUUUUAGGUUUGAUUGUUAGCCUUGAAUUUGUUUCAAUUUAUUUAAUUGAGUUGUCUUGAAUCUGUAUUUUUGGCAUGGGAACAUGUUUUUGUUUUUGUUUUUGUGUGCAUGAAUCUGCUUAACUCAUUGUUGAUUAAAUGCAUUCAUUCAUUUAUUUGUUUUCUCCAUUUUUUUUUCCUUAUGUAGCAUAUCUGUGUUAGUAUCUUAUUGAUGAACGAAUGCUAAUAUUUGGGUUAAUUAGUUUUUUUAUUGAAUAAUUAUUUAUUGAUUGAUUGACUGGUCCAUAUUUGUUUUUCAAUGGUUUGUAAGAUUUGCAUUCAAAACCCUAAGGUGGUCUUCUAAUCAUUUAAGGAUAACUAGUUCAAUGUCAAUUAGGAUUACAUGGAUCGAUUAAAUUUAAGACUUGAUAUAUAUGACUGAUUUAAGAUAAAUACAAGUGCUUAAGGUUUCCUAAUUCUAAAUGGAUUGAGAUACCUACUCCUAUUGGUUAAAGGAGUUUAAGUAAUCCAUGAUGAGGAGGAUACUUAAACUACACCUAUAAAAGGGAGGUCCCUAUGCUAACGGCAGAAUAACGUUCUCAUAUUAUUCUACCCCAUCAAGAAGAGACUCAAGAGCCGUAUAGCAUAGAGAUACUGCCCUAAUACAAAUCUGCCCGAACCAGUCAAGAACACAGCUCCUGCAGAAUUCCAGUUUCUUCCCAAGCAAGUAAUCAAAGUUCCUGCUGCAGUAAUUCUCACAAUGUCGAAUCAAGAUGUAUGAUAUUGGGAGGAGGGUGGUAUGGACAACCAAAGGAGAAGAACAGGAAGCAGCAAAGAAAGAGUUCCUUGAGUGCAUUGGAUUGUUGGAAGGGGAGCUUGGAGACAAGCCUUACUUUGGGGGUGAGACCCUCGGGUUCGUCGAUGUGGCGCUUAUUCCGUUCUAUAGCUGGUUUUAUGUGUAUGAGAAAUGUGGCAACUUCAGUAUAGAGGCAGAGCAGCCAAAGUUUUAUGCAUGGGCAAAGAGGUGCAUGCAGAAGGAGAGUGUGUCCAAGUCUCUUGCUGACCAGAAAGCGAUCUAUGACUUGUUUCUGCAGCGCAUGAAAGCGAGGGGGAUUGAUCAGUAGAUGCAUGGGCACUUGAGCUUGUGCUUUUUCUGUGUUUCAAGUUUCAACCUGUGUUUUGUGUUCUUUAUAUUUGCAAUAAGGCGGCACUUGACCAAGCCCGCUACAGUAAAUGGGGGAGCUUUGCUGUAUAUGGUUUUGUAGUCAAAUUAUCAAAUUGUUGUGAACUUUUUAUAUCAAAGGAUUUUGAGCCAUUCAAAUAUCAA